RNAcentral lists this small RNA (580 nucleotides) under Pongo abelii (Sumatran orangutan). RNAcentral's name for it is "processed transcript". Lineage: Eukaryota; Metazoa; Chordata; Mammalia; Primates; Hominidae. The record is from RNAcentral.
GUGAGCACUGUGUACUGGUACCAUGGCCCCAGGUCUGGGCGAGGGAUGGAAAUAAGGACAGUGCCACUAGGGCCUCCUGUCUGUGCAGGAAGGGCCUUGAGACAGCUCCUCAAACCCCUUUCCCAUUAUACGGAUGGUGCAGAUGGGGACACUGAGGUACAGAGAGACAGUCAGUUGUCCUCAGAACUGGAUCCAGAACCUCGUCUCCUGGCAUGGCCUCCAGUGCAGCACCACGUGUGGCCUCCGAACUCCCAGUCUGGGAUUGGGGGAGCUCUGGUCCUUGGGGGACCACUAUGCUCUUUUGGAGUUGUCAACUUGGUAGGAACCCUCUGGUUCCAAGGCUGUGCCUUUGUGGCCCUCUCCUGGCAUCCUUCUGUCCCUUUAGGAGGUCCUACUACCCUUUUCUUCUGAGCCUGGACAACUCCUUCCCUUGCCCCCAGGAGCCCACAGCCGGCUGAACCAAUUAACUGGUCAGCUAGAACCAACCAGCAGGGGAGGUGCACUCCAGGGGGGCUUCUUGGAGGAGGCAGUAUUGGAGUCAGAGAACGUGCUGGCCAAAGCCCUCUAUGACAAUGUGGCC